RNAcentral lists this ribosomal RNA (2923 nucleotides) under Klebsiella pneumoniae. RNAcentral describes it as "bacterial LSU rRNA". It matches the Rfam family "Bacterial large subunit ribosomal RNA". Lineage: Bacteria; Pseudomonadati; Pseudomonadota; Gammaproteobacteria; Enterobacterales; Enterobacteriaceae. The record is from RNAcentral.
GGGUUGUGAGGUUAAGCGACUAAGCGUACACGGUGGAUGCCCUGGCAGUCAGAGGCGAUGAAGGACGUGCUAAUCUGCGAAAAGCGUCGGUAAGGUGAUAUGAACCGUUACAGCCGGCGAUGUCCGAAUGGGGAAACCCAGUGCAAUUCGUUGCACUAUCGUUAACUGAAUACAUAGGUUAACGAGGCGAACCGGGGGAACUGAAACAUCUAAGUACCCCGAGGAAAAGAAAUCAACCGAGAUUCCCCCAGUAGCGGCGAGCGAACGGGGAGCAGCCCAGAGUCUGAAUCAGCUUGUGUGUUAGUGGAACGGUCUGGAAAGUCCGACGGUACAGGGUGAUAGUCCCGUACACCAAAAUGCACAGGUUGUGAACUCGAAGAGUAGGGCGGGACACGUGGUAUCCUGUCUGAAUAUGGGGGGACCAUCCUCCAAGGCUAAAUACUCCUGACUGACCGAUAGUGAACCAGUACCGUGAGGGAAAGGCGAAAAGAACCCCGGCGAGGGGAGUGAAAAAGAACCUGAAACCGUGUACGUACAAGCAGUGGGAGCACCUUCGGGUGUGACUGCGUACCUUUUGUAUAAUGGGUCAGCGACUUAUAUUCUGUAGCAAGGUUAACCGUAUAGGGGAGCCGCAGGGAAACCGAGUCUUAACUGGGCGUUAAGUUGCAGGGUAUAGACCCGAAACCCGGUGAUCUAGCCAUGGGCAGGUUGAAGGUUGGGUAACACUAACUGGAGGACCGAACCGACUAAUGUUGAAAAAUUAGCGGAUGACUUGUGGCUGGGGGUGAAAGGCCAAUCAAACCGGGAGAUAGCUGGUUCUCCCCGAAAGCUAUUUAGGUAGCGCCUCGUGAACUCAUCUUCGGGGGUAGAGCACUGUUUCGGCUAGGGGGUCAUCCCGACUUACCAACCCGAUGCAAACUACGAAUACCGAAGAAUGUUAUCACGGGAGACACACGGCGGGUGCUAACGUCCGUCGUGAAGAGGGAAACAACCCAGACCGCCAGCUAAGGUCCCAAAGUCAUGGUUAAGUGGGAAACGAUGUGGGAAGGCACAGACAGCCAGGAUGUUGGCUUAGAAGCAGCCAUCAUUUAAAGAAAGCGUAAUAGCUCACUGGUCGAGUCGGCCUGCGCGGAAGAUGUAACGGGGCUAAACCAUGCACCGAAGCUGCGGCAGCGACACUAUGUGUUGUUGGGUAGGGGAGCGUUCUGUAAGCCUGCGAAGGUGACCUGUGAGGGUUGCUGGAGGUAUCAGAAGUGCGAAUGCUGACAUAAGUAACGAUAAAGCGGGUGAAAAGCCCGCUCGCCGGAAGACCAAGGGUUCCUGUCCAACGUUAAUCGGGGCAGGGUGAGUCGACCCCUAAGGCGAGGCCGAAAGGCGUAGUCGAUGGGAAACAGGUUAAUAUUCCUGUACUUGGUGUUACUGCGAAGGGGGGACGGAGAAGGCUAUGUUAGCCGGGCGACGGUUGUCCCGGUUUAAGCAUGUAGGCUGGUUGUCCAGGCAAAUCCGGAUAAUCAAGGCUGAGGUGUGAUGACGAGGCACUACGGUGCUGAAGUAACAAAUGCCCUGCUUCCAGGAAAAGCCUCUAAGCAUCAGGUAACAUUAAAUCGUACCCCAAACCGACACAGGUGGUCAGGUAGAGAAUACCAAGGCGCUUGAGAGAACUCGGGUGAAGGAACUAGGCAAAAUGGUGCCGUAACUUCGGGAGAAGGCACGCUGGUGUGUAGGUGAAGUCCCUGCGGAUGGAGCUGAGACCAGUCGAAGAUACCAGCUGGCUGCAACUGUUUAUUAAAAACACAGCACUGUGCAAACACGAAAGUGGACGUAUACGGUGUGACGCCUGCCCGGUGCCGGAAGGUUAAUUGAUGGGGUUAUCCGUAAGGAGAAGCUCUUGAUCGAAGCCCCGGUAAACGGCGGCCGUAACUAUAACGGUCCUAAGGUAGCGAAAUUCCUUGUCGGGUAAGUUCCGACCUGCACGAAUGGCGUAAUGAUGGCCAGGCUGUCUCCACCCGAGACUCAGUGAAAUUGAACUCGCUGUGAAGAUGCAGUGUACCCGCGGCAAGACGGAAAGACCCCGUGAACCUUUACUAUAGCUUGACACUGAACAUUGAGCCUUGAUGUGUAGGAUAGGUGGGAGGCUUUGAAGCGUGGACGCCAGUCUGCGUGGAGCCAACCUUGAAAUACCACCCUUUAAUGUUUGAUGUUCUAACGUUGGCCCCUUACCGGGGUUGCGGACAGUGUCUGGUGGGUAGUUUGACUGGGGCGGUCUCCUCCCAAAGCGUAACGGAGGAGCACGAAGGUUAGCUAAUCCUGGUCGGACAUCAGGAGGUUAGUGCAAUGGCAUAAGCUAGCUUGACUGCGAGCGUGACGGCGCGAGCAGGUGCGAAAGCAGGUCAUAGUGAUCCGGUGGUUCUGAAUGGAAGGGCCAUCGCUCAACGGAUAAAAGGUACUCCGGGGAUAACAGGCUGAUACCGCCCAAGAGUUCAUAUCGACGGCGGUGUUUGGCACCUCGAUGUCGGCUCAUCACAUCCUGGGGCUGAAGUAGGUCCCAAGGGUAUGGCUGUUCGCCAUUUAAAGUGGUACGCGAGCUGGGUUUAGAACGUCGUGAGACAGUUCGGUCCCUAUCUGCCGUGGGCGCUGGAGAAUUGAGGGGGGCUGCUCCUAGUACGAGAGGACCGGAGUGGACGCAUCACUGGUGUUCGGGUUGUCAUGCCAAUGGCACUGCCCGGUAGCUAAAUGCGGAAGAGAUAAGUGCUGAAAGCAUCUAAGCACGAAACUUGCCCCGAGAUGAGUUCUCCCUGAGACUUUAAGUCUCCUGAAGGAACGUUAAAGACGAUGACGUUGAUAGGCCGGGUGUGUAAGCGCAGCGAUGCGUUGAGCUAACCGGUACUAAUGAACCGUGAGGCUUAACCUUACAACGCCGAAG